UCCCUGGUAGUCCAGAGGUUAGGACUUGGUGCUUUCACUGCUGUGGUCCCAGGUUCAAUCCCUGGUCAGGGAA
Non-coding RNA from Lipotes vexillifer (Yangtze River dolphin), 73 nucleotides. The record is from the annotation of a RefSeq genome assembly. Lineage: Eukaryota; Metazoa; Chordata; Mammalia; Artiodactyla; Lipotidae.